CUUAAGCUUGCUAAGUUUGAUGGCGACCGGCGCACGGGUGAGUAACACGUAUCCAACCUGCCCUUUACUCGGGGAUAGCCUUUCGAAAGAAAGAUUAAUACCCGAUAGUAUAAUGAUUCCGCAUGGUUUCAUUAUUAAAGGAUUCCGGUAAAAGAUGGGGAUGCGUUCCAUUAGGUUGUUGGCGGGGUAACGGCCCACCAAGCCUUCGAUGGAUAGGGGUUCUGAGAGGAAGGUCCCCCACAUUGGAACUGAGACACGGUCCAAACUCCUACGGGAGGCAGCAUG
Molecule: ribosomal RNA, 285 nt
Filed under: uncultured bacterium
Lineage: Bacteria
Description: partial 16S ribosomal RNA
Rfam family: Bacterial small subunit ribosomal RNA
Source: RNAcentral